ACGUAGGGCGCGAGCGUUGUCCGGAUUUAUUGGGCGUAAAGAGCUCGUAGGCGGCUUGUCGCGUCGACCGUGAAAACUUGGGGCUCAACCCCAAGCCUGCGGUCGAUACGGGCAGGCUCGAGUUCGGUAGGGGAGACUGGAAUUCCUGGUGUAGCGGUGAAAUGCGCAGAUAUCAGGAGGAACACCGAUGGCGAAGGCAGGUCUCUGGGCCGAUACUGACGCUGAGGAGCGAAAGCGUGGGGAGCGAACAGG
RNAcentral lists this ribosomal RNA (252 nucleotides) under uncultured bacterium. RNAcentral describes it as "partial 16S ribosomal RNA". It matches the Rfam family "Bacterial small subunit ribosomal RNA", at positions 525 to 776 of the family's 1533-position model. The record is from RNAcentral.